AACCACCCUUCUUUUCCUCUCUCCGUCUCUCUCACCUGCAAAACUCCCCCCUCUCUCACCCGCCAUUAACAAUCAUUGACUCACCCACCAUCAACAACCGUUGACAACGGGAGAUCUUCGGCCAUUAACAGUCACUACAACCCUAUCAGUGGACUGAACCAAGCAGCAACAAAUUUUUAUUCAUUCGAGCAAGGUAGAAUUGCUGCAUAUAGACUAUGAGAUGAUUAAGCCACUCGACCUCUACUGUUAAUCAGGAUGGAAAUACCUUGGAUUCGGUGCAAGGAAACAUUAGUUCUGGAAUGUGUAUUUCAGUUAUCUUUCUCGUCCUGAAAUCCCUUUCUGAAGUGGGUUUUACCUGACUGUGCCUGCUGGAAAAACUGUGGCACUUUUUGGCAAGAAUGGCUCAGCAAAAAGCAGUAUAAUUCCUCUCAUGGAACGUUUCUAUGAUCCUGCAUUAGGAGAGGUUCUUUUGGAUGGGCAAAAUAUUAAAAGCCUUGAAACUAGAAUGGUUAAAGAAGCCAAAUAGGACGGGUCACCAAGGAACCUACCUUGCUAAGUUUAAGCGUAAGGGACAACACUGCUUAUGGAAGGUCAACUGCUACAUUGGAUUAGAUUGAAAAGGCAGCCAAAAAGGUCAUGCACAUACUUUUAUCAGCUCACUUGACAAAGGAUACGAGACACAGGUGGGAAUGGCUGGCUUGGCAUUAACUGAAGAGCUAAAAAUAAAACUCUCAUCACUAGGGCAGUGCUUUCAGAUCCAUCUAUACUUCUGCUUAAUGAGGUUACUGGUGGCCUUGGCUUUGAAGCAGAAAGGCCUGUUCAGGUGGCUCUGGAUAUCCUUAUGCUGGGAUGCUUAACUAUAAUAAUAGCUCGGCGUCUUAGCCUUAUAAGAAAUGCUGAUUAUAUAGCUGUGUAGGGUCAGCUUAUUGAAAUGGAUAUACAUGAUGAAUUUCUUACACUGGGUGGCCUCUAUGCAGAACUCCUGAGAUGUGAAGCAGCAGCAAAGCUUCCUAAGAGGGAGGACAAAUCUGAUCUGAGUCUUGAGGAAAUAAUGAUCUGGCUUUCCAUUUAGGUAUUGCAUCUCAGCUACAAUGGCCCUAAAGCGCUCCCUCCUUGUUGUUCAAAAUGUGCUCGAAGCUCUCAACCCUCGAUCUCCAUAACAGGGAAAUUACGAUGUAUAUUCUUCGCCAGAUUGAAGGGUGGGAAGAAUUUGAUGAGCGUCACCCAUCAAAGCACCAGAAGCAACUGGAUUUCCGUGUUGGGCACUCUGCUGGAUUUUAUGGAGCAGAUAAGUAUGAGGGACGUUAAAUCCUUCAGAUUGCCAUGCCAGUUUUGUGAGAGGCCAUACUUCCUUUGGUGCCUUCAUUUUUCCAAUCAUAGUUAAAUCCGGAACUUGUAUAAUCUUCAGGUGAAAUUAUGGGGUCCUAAUGCAUGAACGCCGGUAGUGUCUUGAUGUGCCCAUUCAUUCCUGUAGGCCCAUGGUUGGAUAAUCCAGAGCAUUGGUCUGGUGGGGUUCACAUUGUGGAUGGGGAUGCUUCGAAAAUCUCACUUGUUUGAAGAUCUACAAAUAGUUGGAUGGAUAAAACCCUCCAAUUGGUAAUGUUCAUCUAUGAUGGGACCCAUCAGAUCAACAGUUAUGAUCACCUGUCCAGGGGUCUCACCUUUAACUGGAUGUGUAAGAGGACGUUCCGAUGUAUCAGGUCCAAUCUAUAGACAUCUAUGCCAUGAACGACUGCAUCAAAACAUUUGCCACCAUUUGCUCUGCAUUGAGCUACUGGAAUCUCAAGAAGUGGUUUUGGGAUGCAGCAGUAGCAGUACGAUUUGAAAGUGUAUGAGAUUAGUGAGUUAGUUCAAAUGAUCAAAGGCGACAGCUGAAUCUCCUCUUGCUUCUUGCUUGCCUCUUUGGUACGAAAAGAAUCUGAACUCAGCCCUAUACAGAGUAGACUCAGCUGAGUCAAUAUGAUGUUGACUCGGAUGAGUUGUGCCCAGGAGCCGAGUUUUAAUUCCUUGGACCACCCAUUUAAUAGCCACUACUUGGAUGGUUAGGAUUGCUUGAUCAGUGUGAUAUUAGAGUUUUGAUUCAUCCAUUAUGUGAUAUUACAGUGUGAA
Long non-coding RNA from Magnolia sinica, 2109 nucleotides. RefSeq lists it as uncharacterized. The record is from RefSeq and is a predicted model, not a curated record. The transcript is spliced from 7 exons. Lineage: Eukaryota; Viridiplantae; Streptophyta; Magnoliopsida; Magnoliales; Magnoliaceae.